AAUAUCUUAAGUAAACCACAUGAAAUUGAAUGCAAAAAUACAAAUUAUGAUGUGUGGAUGGAAAAAUAUUACGUACAAAUAUAAAGAAGUGACCUUAGUAUUUACAGAGCAUGGAGAAAGGCAGUGGAGAGUCAUAAGGAGGGCAUUUGCGUCAAGGUUCUCAGGAAGAAUUGCAGAUGCUUUCAUUCCACAAAGCAUGUUGCCUGGACAAGUGUUCAGGAAUUUUUUGCCUGCUGGCCG
Molecule: long non-coding RNA, 240 nt
Organism: Lagopus leucura (white-tailed ptarmigan)
Lineage: Eukaryota; Metazoa; Chordata; Aves; Galliformes; Phasianidae
Exons: 3
Source: RefSeq, a predicted model, not a curated record